This 393-nucleotide ribosomal RNA is filed under the name Hemidactylus mabouia. RNAcentral describes it as "partial small subunit ribosomal RNA". It matches the Rfam family "Bacterial small subunit ribosomal RNA", at positions 875 to 1411 of the family's 1533-position model. The record is from RNAcentral. Lineage: Eukaryota; Metazoa; Chordata; Lepidosauria; Squamata; Gekkonidae.
UUCCUAAACCCACUGCUCGCCAGAGAACUACAAGUAAAAACUUAAAACUCAAAGGACUUGACGGCAUACCAUAUCACCCUAGAGGAGCCUGUCCUAUAAUCGAUAACCCACGCUACACCUCACCUGUUCUUGCACUAUGCUCAGCCUAUAUACCGCCGCCUUCAGCCCGCCUUACAAAAGCACAAACAGCGAGCAAAACAGCCACCACUAACACGCCAGGUCAAGGUGUAGCCAACGAACAGGAAGAGAUGGGCUACAUUUUCUAACUUAGACAACACCGACAGCAACAUGAAACACCCGCCUAAAGGUGGAUUUAGAAGUAAGCCAGGCAAGAUAUGCCUGACUGAACCUAGCUCUGGAAUGCGUACACACCGCCCGUCACCCCCUCCUCAA